Molecule: long non-coding RNA, 1349 nt
Filed under: Bos indicus x Bos taurus (hybrid cattle)
Lineage: Eukaryota; Metazoa; Chordata; Mammalia; Artiodactyla; Bovidae
Description: lncRNA (ENSBIXG00005003808.1)
Source: RNAcentral
GCUGGAUGUGGGGGAGGGCAGUGCAGAAGAGAAGGCUAAUCAUCUAACUCAGGAACUGCAUGGAGGCCUAAAGAAAGAACAGUACAUUCUUAGCACAGCUUGUGCUUCACAGUCUUCAACAAUCCAAUGUGCUAAGCAGAUAACAGCAUUGGCAACGUUAGUCUCACUUUUUGGAUGAAACAAUGGCUCCCAUCUGUGGACUUACAGGUCUUUUCCACAGAGGCUGGGCAGGUCUGUGGCAGAACUGGCAGAGGGGCACCGCCCCUGCCCGACACUUCCUUGUUUAAAGGGGCUCUUGUGGAACUUUUGGAACUUGGAAUAGAACCCCUGGAAAUCACCUCCUCAUUUUCAGGAGAGGAUCAAGACCCUGAGUCUGGUGACGUUUGCAUGACUGGUGCCAGAAGAACAAUGAGCCAGGCUGGGGAACUUCAGCUGAAGAAUGUAGAUGCUACCAAGCUCAGCACCCAAUGGCUUCUAAUAAAACCCAAGUGACACUCUGGCAGAAAUGGAGCCCUUACCCAUUCAUCAACGAGUAAAUGGCUUUCUCUUUUCACCAGUUAACUUAGCAAAUAGCCACUGGAAACCUCUUCUGUAUUUGCAGAGACCUCUAUGUGGGGUUUAGAAGAAUAGAUUCUUGCUCUCAAAACUCUGCAGUCUCAGAAGGGAAGACUGUUCAAACGAGCCAAUUUAAUGCUAUACUGUUAUAGAAAUUGGGUAAGAGGGACAGAGAAGGCCUUAGGAGGAGACUCCUUGUGUGUGUGUGUGUGUGUGUGUGUGUGUGUGUGUGUGUGUGUGUAUGUGCCUGGGGUGGAGGGUAUAUCAUAUCAAUUUCUAUAUAGACAUAAACUAUCUUACCAAGAAAUACUUGGUGUGUUUCUACAUUUUCAGUGAGCUCCCUUGAAUGUAUAUCCUGGUGACUUUUGGGGAAUAUAUCUAGCCAGUUAACUUCUAGCACUGGAAUUGUUUGGUUAAAGGGAGAACAUUUCCAAAUUUAUUUUCCAAGAAGUUUGCGCUGGUUUCCUCUCCCUCCCUUUUCCUCCCUUCCCCACACAUCCCCCAGGUCCUUAACAGCUGGCUGCAACAAGCAUCUUGUACGAGGAUGCUGAGUCACUUCAGUUGUGUCCGACUCUUUGCGGCCCAAUGGACCAUAGCCCACCAGGCUCCUCUGUCCAUGGGAUUCUCCAGGCAGGACUACUGGAGUGGAUUGCCAUGCCCUCCUCCAGGGGAUCUUCCUGACCCAGGGACUGAACCCAGGUCUCUUACGUGUCCUGCAUUGACAGGUGAGUACUUUACUACUAGCGCCACCUGGCUGGCAGGAUCUGCUUCCUGACUGAGGGUCAGACCCACAC